UGACUGCUGUCCCGAAUGAGGAACGUGCCCUCUGGGGCCGCCUCAAGGAGUGAAUGGGCCUCACUGGCUGUGAUGGUGCCCCAGUACCACCCUAAAAAAGGAGAAACAAACAAGAAGUUUGAGGACAACUCUCAAAACUGAAAACUACUUGAAACAUCACUACUUUCCACAGUGAUGUUUGUUGGUAAAUGAGACCUUUUUGCUGUACUCGUGUUCGAUGCACGUGAAUCGAAGAGGCCUGUGGCUGAAUGCGUGUUGUGAUGACAUCACAUGAGGCUGCUGCGAAUAUUGCCGAGUUCCCUUGAUUUAGCGUUAAUUUCUGCGAUCGCCAAAAAAUCACUAAACCCUGCAGGAACUGGUUAUGACUGGAACAUUUGUGAAUUUAAAUGGCAGAACUGACAGAGAAACUUCUAUGUCCUUGUGCAACACUCUCAGGUGCUUAGUUUUAUGCUUGGAUUGUGGGCAGCCUUGCAUGUAAGAUACUCUGGAUAAGAGCAGUAGACAAAUGAAUAAAUAUAAGUAAUGUAAAUGUAAAUUUUCCCAGGAAAGCCUUAAGACUAAGACACAAUUUUCAUGACUCAACUGACCUACGCCAAGCUGUGUGCUCCAGCCUGUCUGCUGCCGUUGCCAUUUUGUCUACUUCCUAUGAUUAACACUCCUUGGUUGAACAGAACACGUUGCUCUCAUUCCAAAGCCAUGACCAUACACUCGUUAGACUAUGGCUGUAAACGUGAUCUCUUGCACACAUGGAUAUAUUUAUCGCAACAAUGCAAUGUGCAUUUGUACCUGAUUCUCAGGAAUGAAUGUCUGAAACAUUAUUAAAGCGUUUACCUGAAGCAUCGAGGUAACAGAAGUUGCUGGUGAUGGUGCACAGUUCUUUGCUGGAUUCCCAGAACUUGGGGGUGCUCUGGAGACAACGUGCUGAUGAGGAAGAGACAACUGAAACCCCAAGAGGAACCACCUGAGACUGCGAGUCUCCUAACAGAGCUCUGG
Ictalurus punctatus (channel catfish) is the source of this 993-nucleotide long non-coding RNA. RefSeq lists it as uncharacterized. The transcript is spliced from 2 exons. Lineage: Eukaryota; Metazoa; Chordata; Actinopteri; Siluriformes; Ictaluridae. The record is from RefSeq and is a predicted model, not a curated record.